Molecule: transfer RNA, 54 nt
Filed under: Rhabditophanes sp. KR3021
Lineage: Eukaryota; Metazoa; Nematoda; Chromadorea; Rhabditida; Alloionematidae
Description: tRNA-Ser
Source: RNAcentral
AAACUAUUUAUUAAAUUGUUUUGAAAACAGUUUAAGGAUUUUAUCCGUAGUUUU